GGGGCCGACUGGUUUUGACAGCGGGUUUCAUUGUAAUGUAAGCAUGUCGAGCGCUGGAAAACAGCUCGUAAAUCUCAUUUUUCACACUUUUUAAACGGCGAUAAUAAUUACGCCCUAGCUGCAUAAUCUGAAUUAUAGUAGGAUAAUGCCUCGGCCCUGAAGCAGGGCAAGCAGGAAGUCACUCCACUGCCUUGGUUUACGGCGGCGGAACUAGUGGCUUCGUAAAAGUAAACCUAGAGAAUUUAGGGCUUUGAUGAAUUCUCGACAUCUAAUUGAAGCUAAGCUGUGCGUUGGUAGUUUUUGACCGGCAAGCGGACGAAAAUUUAAACAAAAACUAAACAUGUAGAAAGCCUUAUAACGGCACGUUUGGACGAGGGUUCGAAUCCCUCCGGCUCCACCU
Molecule: transfer-messenger RNA, 400 nt
Filed under: Flavobacteriaceae
Lineage: Bacteria; Pseudomonadati; Bacteroidota; Flavobacteriia; Flavobacteriales
Also listed under: 1 other name
Description: SMXJ01 sp013002065 Standard tmRNA
Rfam family: transfer-messenger RNA
About the family: Bacterial tmRNA, also known as 10Sa RNA or SsrA, is named for its dual tRNA and mRNA-like properties. Its role is to liberate the mRNA from a stalled ribosome.
Source: RNAcentral